AUGCUAGAGAAAACCAUGAGAAACAAGAGCAUCACUUCACUGCCAGCAAAAGAGGGUGGCUCAUACAUAAAAGGAACAGACAUACAAGAGUGGUCUGACGUGGACAUGAUUCUUUUUAGCAGUGCCUUUAGAGAUUUAGAGGAUUGCCAAAAGAAAAUUACAGAGAUACUAGAAGAAUUAGGAAGAAAACUGAUGAAAUCUUCAUGGGCCAACAGGUUUGUAUUCAAAUUUGUGUUCAGUAUUACGGGCUUCUGCCUCCAUUUCCUCCUGACAUUUCUUUUCUCUUUAUAAAGAAAUUCCAUAAAAUGCUCUUGUUACAUCUCAAUUAGAUUACUGCAACACACUCUACAUAGGGCUGCCUUUGAAGACUGUUCAGAAACUUCAAGAAGUCCAACGGGCUGCAACCAGGCUGCUCACUGGAGCGGCAUAUAGGGAACAUACAACUCCUCUGCUGUGUCAGCUCCACUGGCUGCCAAUUUGCUACUGAGCACAAUUCAAAGUGCUGGUUUUAGCCUAUAAAGCCCUAAACAGUUUUGGCCUAGCUUACCUGUCUGAAUGCAUCUCCCCCUAUGCAUCUUGGAAGUUAAGAUCUUCUGGGGAGCCCCUGCUGUCAGUCCCACCUUCUUCACAGGUGCAGCUGAUGAGGACGAGGGACAGGGCCUUCACAGUGGUAGCCCCUCAGCUGUGGAACUCCCUUCCCGGUGAAAUUAAAAUUAGAAAUUAGAUUCCAGCCUUUAGAAAACAAAUUAAAACCUGGCUAUUGAACCAAGUGUUUGGAGAAUAGCACAGGGCUAUAUACAGCUAUGAAGUGAAUAGCAAUGAGAUUGACACAGCUUCUGGAUUAUGAUUUUUAGUCUAUGUCUAAUCUUUUAACAGCUUAAUUUUGUAUUUAUAUGUUAGUGUUUUAUGAUUUUCAUGAUUUAAUGCACAAUGUAUAUUGUAUAUUGUUUGUCUUAAGUUAAUGUGGCAUUAAAUUAUUGCCAAUUUGGAAACCGCUCUGAAUCGCCUUCGGGGUUGAGAUAGAGUGGCGGCGGCGGCGGCGGGAGGCCAGUGUCAGGAGCAACUUGAGAAACUGCAAGUUGCUUCUGGUGUGAGAGAAUUGGCUGUCUGCAAGGAUAUUGCUUAGGGGACACCCUGCAAGAGGUUUUUCUCGUGUCCCUGCAUGGGAAGCUGGAGCUGUCAGACGGGAGCUCACUUCUCUCCCUGGAUCCAAACUACUGAUCUUUUGGUCAGCAGUCCUGCCGGCACAAGGGUUUAACCCAUUGUGCCACCAGAGGCUCCUAUAGAGCAGGGUAAAAAUGCAGUCAAUAAAUAAAUAAACUCAUUGUGUUAACCAAUUCUUCCUUUUGUAGGCUAAUUUUGCAGAAAAGGACCCCAUUUUCAUUAAAAUUCUAUUUCAAGUGUUAUAAAGAUCAACAUGGCCAUUCACUUGAUAUUAUGCUUUGUUAUGAUAUACUUUGGUUUGCAGUAUUUCCAGGUAAGAACUUACUUUUAUUUUGAAGGCAGUUCCACUUCUAUUCCCACACCUCACUCUAUAUUCCUGUAGUACUCGUUUUUUGCAAUUGAUAGCAAUAAUAUUAUUUUCCAUUGGCUCACAAUUUGUUGAAUUUGGUUUUAGUUAAGAUGUGAAGAUAAUGUAGGUCAAGGCAGUGGCAUUAGUCUUAUCUCUUGCUUGGUGUUAACAGGUUUAAAAGAGAGCUUUUACCGCCAGCUCUACCUCUGCAGUGACAAUGAUAAAGUCCAGCUGUACACAAUGGCUCUGUUGAAAUACCAGGUUGAAUUUGUCAAGGUAUCCACAGAGAGGGUGAAGGGUCUUAUACGUUUAAUAAAGUACUGGUUCAAAACUUCCUUUGCAAAACCAACAGAGGAAAAUAAGUAAGUUGCUAGUAUACACAUACCGUGUUUAAUUUCCCUUUAUAGUACCAGAUCAUUGUGUUUUCCCAAGCUACAACUAUAUGGAGACUUAUGUAUUUCAGAAUUCUCUAGCCAAUACUGCCACUCAUCCUGGGAUUCUGAGAGCUGUAGUUCAAAAAAAGUAUCUUCCCAAGAUAGAGCUCUAAGCAAUCACCAAUUUGUGAAAAUGGAGAGCACGAAUAACUGAUGUGAAGCAAUACUUAAUAUGUCUUCAUAGAGAUAUUCCUAGUUAGUAUUGGAAGCCUCCCUGUAACUAACAAAUGAAAUGAGAUACCACAAUUGAAUUUUGCUGCUGGUCUUCAACAUUGAUUUGAUUUACACGGUUUGAUUCUAACCAUUCCUUAAGGCAGCUCAUUCUAUGAAAGUAAGUCUGGUGCAUGUUUGUGUUCAGGUUUCGCAGACUCCCUUCUUCCUACGCAGUGGAGCUCAUCACAAUCCAUGUAUGGGAGCUAGCUGGGAAACCCAUCUUUUUCAGUUUUGUACAGGGGAUGCGAGCUGUACUCAAGCUUCUGGUUCAGUAUCAGGAUAUAUGCAGUGUAUGGCAUAAGCAUUACAGGCCAAAGUUUACAGUUUUCCAAAAGGUGUUUUUGAAGCAAACCAGGUAAGGAAGCUUCAGAAGGUUCCUUGAAUAUUGCCAGAGAUAUUAAAUGAUACCAUCAGAAUUGUUGAUUGUUUGCUAUGAGGAUGAUUAAAUGAAAGAUACAUGAAGAGGUUUUCAUGGAAACAUUUUGAAGUUUUGGGCCAUAGUGAAAGACACCUCAAAUUCUAAGAAAUGGCACUGGAUCAGGAAUACAGUUGGAGAAAAACGUAAUUAUUCUAGGAAUUAUCCCAGAACAAAAUAAUUAUUCCGAAUCCCUGUCCUUGGAAAGUGUUCCCUCAGGGCCUUAAUGGAGAACCAAAACUUUUUUAUUCUAAUAUUAUCUUUAUUGACUUUAUACAGUGUUGUUUUUGUCAUUAUGGUUAUAUGGACAAGACUUAUGUUAUCUAUUUGCCAAUAACUGCUGUGUAAAUACUAGCUAUGAAAAAAAUGAUUUUGAAAACUUUAAAUCAGGAGCGGGAAUUGUGCAGCCCAUGGGCUACAUUUGGCCAUUUGCAGGAGUUUUGGAGAUCCACACCAACCCAUCCAGAACCCAGAAAGCCUUGAAAAAAACCCCUAAAUAAAAUACUGUAAUUCUAAAAUGUUUAAAACACUCUUUGCAGGGCAGUAUGGUGCUCUUUUGGGAGGCUCUCCAUCCUACUGCAGCAUACCCAAGGUACAAGGAACAGACCCAGGCCUGUCCCAUGGAUAAAAAGAUCAUACUCACUUUGGAACUGUCUUGAUCCUGACACAUGAUGUAUGACCUCUCUAGCAGUGAAAACA
Anolis carolinensis (green anole) is the source of this 3274-nucleotide long non-coding RNA. The record is from Ensembl. Lineage: Eukaryota; Metazoa; Chordata; Lepidosauria; Squamata; Anolidae.